RNAcentral lists this non-coding RNA (130 nucleotides) under Pseudo-nitzschia australis. Lineage: Eukaryota; Bacillariophyta; Bacillariophyceae; Bacillariales; Bacillariaceae. The record is from RNAcentral.
GAAGCAAUGCAUGAUAUGUGUUUGGUAGUGGAGGAGAAGAAUACAGAAAUUGAAGAAGAACUGGAAUGCUUGAGGGUGGAAUACAAACUGAUGGCAGAGAGAAACGUCGCAUUGGAAGAAUCGGGACAAC